This 371-nucleotide ribosomal RNA is filed under the name uncultured organism. Its description in RNAcentral is "partial 16S ribosomal RNA". It matches the Rfam family "Bacterial small subunit ribosomal RNA", at positions 527 to 896 of the family's 1533-position model. The record is from RNAcentral.
AGAGGGUGCAAGCGUUAAUCGGAAUAACUGGGCGUAAAGGGCUCGUAGGCGGUAGAGUAAGUUAGAGGUGAAAUUUCCGGGCUUAACCUGGACAGGUCCUCUAAAACUGUUUUACUAGAAUAUAGGAGAGGGAAGUGGAAUUUUCGGUGUAGCGGUGAAAUGCGUAGAUAUCGGAAAGAACACCAGUGGCGAAGGCGGCUUUCUGGCCUAAUAUUGACGCUGAGGAGCGAAAGCGUGGGUAGCGAACAGGAUUAGAUACCCUGGUAGUCCACGCCGUAAACGAUGAGAACUAGGCGUAUGACAGCUACGGUUGUUGUGUGCUGCAGCAAACGCAUUAAGUUCUCCGCCUGGGGAGUACGACCGCAAGGUUA